CCCUUAGAUGUUCUGGGCCGCACGCGCGCUACACUGAUGCAUUCAACGAGUCUAAAACCUGCUCUGAUAGGGGUGGGUAAUCUUUUGAAUGUGCAUCGUGAUUGGGAUGGAUGAUUGCAAUUUUUCAUCUUCAACGAGGAAUGCCUAGUAAACGCAAGUCAUCAGCUUGCAUUGAUUACGUCCCUGCCCUUUGUACACACCGCCCGUCGCUCCUACCGAUUGAAUGAUCCGAUGAAUAUCAUGGAUUGAGGAUGUAAGCAGGUUCGCCUGUCUUCAUCUUCGAGAAGUGAAGUAAAUCUUAUCAUUUAGAGGAAGGAGAAGUCGUAACA
RNAcentral lists this ribosomal RNA (329 nucleotides) under uncultured eukaryote. RNAcentral describes it as "partial 18S ribosomal RNA". It matches the Rfam family "Eukaryotic small subunit ribosomal RNA", at positions 1470 to 1796 of the family's 1831-position model. The record is from RNAcentral.